UACGAAGGGGGCUAGCGUUGAUCGGAAUCACUGGGCGUAAAGCGCACGUAGGCGGCUUUCUAAGUCAGGGGUGAAAUCCUGGAGCUCAACUCCAGAACUGCAUUUGAUACUGGAAAGCUUGAGUCCGGGAGAGGUGAGUGGAACUGCGAGUGUAGAGGUGAAAUUCGUAGAUAUUCGCAAGAACACCGGUGGCGAAGGCGGCAUCCUGGACCGGCAUUGACGCUGAGGCGCGAAAGCCAGGGGAGCAAACGGG
RNAcentral lists this ribosomal RNA (253 nucleotides) under uncultured bacterium. RNAcentral describes it as "partial 16S ribosomal RNA". It matches the Rfam family "Bacterial small subunit ribosomal RNA", at positions 524 to 776 of the family's 1533-position model. The record is from RNAcentral.